UACGUAGGGGGCUAGCGUUGUCCGGAUUUAUUGGGCGUAAAGAGCGUGUAGGCGGCCAGGUAGGUCUGGUGUGAAAACUGAGGCUUAACCUCGAGAUGUCAUCGGAAACCAUCUGGCUAGAGUCCGGAAGAGGAGAGUGGAAUUCCUGGUGUAGCGGUGAAUGCGCAGAUAUCAGGAGGAACACCGGUGGCGAAGGCGGGUCUCUGGGCCUGAGUAACUGACGCUGAGGAACGAAAGCGUGGGGAGCGAACAGGAUUAGAAC
RNAcentral lists this ribosomal RNA (262 nucleotides) under uncultured bacterium. RNAcentral's name for it is "partial 16S ribosomal RNA". It matches the Rfam family "Bacterial small subunit ribosomal RNA", at positions 524 to 784 of the family's 1533-position model. The record is from RNAcentral.